This 548-nucleotide ribosomal RNA is filed under the name uncultured bacterium. RNAcentral describes it as "bacterial SSU rRNA". It matches the Rfam family "Bacterial small subunit ribosomal RNA", at positions 62 to 655 of the family's 1533-position model. The record is from RNAcentral.
UCGAACGUAGUAGCAAUACUUAGUGGCAGACGGGUGAGUAACACGUAGGUAUCUACCCUUUGGCCUGGAAUAACACGAGGAAACUUGUGCUAAUACCGGAUAAGUCUUUACGGAGAAAGCUUUAUGCACCAUUGGAUGAGCCUGCACUUGAUUAGUUUGUUGGUGGGGUAAUGGCCUACCAAGACUGUGAUCAAUAGCUGAUUUGAGAGGAUGAUCAGCCACAUUGGGACUGAGACACGGCCCAAACUCCUACGGGAGGCAGCAGUGGGGAAUCUUGCACAAUGGAGGAAACUCUGAUGCAGCGAUGCCGCGUGAGUGAAGAAGGCCUUUGGGUUGUAAAGCUCUUUCGUCGGGGAAGAAAAUGACUGUACCCGAAUAAGAAGGUCCGGCUAACUUCGUGCCAGCAGCCGCGGUAAUACGAAGGGACCUAUCGUAGUUCGGAAUUACUGGGCUUAAAGAGUUCGUAGGUGGUUGAAAAAGUUAGUGGUGAAAUCCCAGAGCUUAACUCUGGAACUGCCAUUAUAACUUUUCAGCUAGAGUAUGAUAGA